UGCAACAACCAAGAAGAGGGAAAAUACUCAUUAGAAUCCCAAUUUAGCCUCGAUCACCAUGGCCUCAAUGCAAUGCAUCAAACCAGAUGAGAAGGCAUGCGACCAAGAACAAGAACGAAUGGUCCAUGUCCAAACAGAGCAAAGCCUUUCCCAUGAGAAGGUCGAUUCUGUAACUCAAUGCAAUUGCCAAACCAAUGGCCCCGGCAGCCAAGCUCAGGUCGACCAGAAAAAGAACCAUGAGAAGAACGAGAAGAAAAUGAAGGACAAGAAAGGAAAGAAGGAGAAGGAGAAGGAGAAGAAGGAGAAGAAGGGAAAGAAGGAAAAUGACAAGAAGAAAGAAAAGAGCGGGGACAAGAAGAAGUAGAAGAAGCAUGACAGCAGCAGCAUUAUUGAAAGUGAUUAGAGAUGCUGCGAAAUGAAGGCAAGUGUUGUUGGUGUCUUACGAUGCUUUUUCUUGCAUUUCAGAAUAACAGCGUCUUAGAAUCUAAAACUUUUAAUAUCGUUGAUAUUUUCAGCAAUCUGAAACCUUUUUUUCUUAACCUGUUCAAUGCAUGCCGAUGCAGGAGGAGCGUUCAGAAAUAAAGAUGGAUACAAUUCCUGUCAACACAAUAAUAAACAGAUACAUAAAGGAAAAAAGAAGAAGAAAAGAUGAUAUAAAAUAAGACCAGCAGCAUACUGCACUUGCAUGACUUGCUGUUGUUCGUCUUAUCAAUUUUUACUACUCUUUCAUGUUGUUAAGAUACAUCGAGUUGUUGCAGAAAAAGAUAUUUGGAAAUACAUGCUAUUGAAAAUGCUUGUGAAAAAUUGCUACAGUGAUAUAAAUAGAUUUU
RNAcentral lists this long non-coding RNA (830 nucleotides) under Populus trichocarpa (black cottonwood). RNAcentral describes it as "long non-coding RNA (PTRI_LNC000083)". Lineage: Eukaryota; Viridiplantae; Streptophyta; Magnoliopsida; Malpighiales; Salicaceae. The record is from RNAcentral.